ACGCUCGACACCUACGAGGCAGCAGUAGGGAAUCUUCCACAAUGGACGCAAGUCUGAUGGAGCAACGCCGCGUGAGUGAAGAAGGUUUUCGGAUCGUAAAGCUCUGUUGUUGGUGAAGAAGGAUAGAGGUAGUAACUGGCCUUUAUUUGACGGUAAUCAACCAGAAAGUCACGGCUAACUACGUGCCAGCAGCCGCGGUAAUCUGAGCGGGCUGGCAAGGC
Molecule: ribosomal RNA, 221 nt
Filed under: uncultured bacterium
Lineage: Bacteria
Description: partial 16S ribosomal RNA
Rfam family: Bacterial small subunit ribosomal RNA
Source: RNAcentral